RNAcentral lists this ribosomal RNA (467 nucleotides) under uncultured bacterium. RNAcentral describes it as "partial 16S ribosomal RNA". It matches the Rfam family "Bacterial small subunit ribosomal RNA", at positions 28 to 507 of the family's 1533-position model. The record is from RNAcentral.
GAUGAACGCUGACAGCAUGCUUAACACAUGCAAGUCAACUUGAAUUUGGGUUUUUAACUUAGGUUUGGGUGGCGGACGGGUGAGUAACGCGUAAAGAACUUGCCUCACAGCUAGGGACAACAUUUGGAAACGAAUGCUAAUACCUAAUAUUAUGAUAAUAGGGCAUCCUAUAAUUAUGAAAGCUAUAAGCGCUGUGAGAGAGCUUUGCGUCCCAUUAGCUAGUUGGAGAGGUAACGGCUCACCAAGGCGAUGAUGGGUAGCCGGCCUGAGAGGGUGAUCGGCCACAAGGGGACUGAGACACGGCCCUUACUCCUACGGGAGGCAGCAGUGGGGAAUAUUGGACAAUGGACCAAGAGUCUGAUCCAGCAAUUCUGUGUGCACGAUGAAGUUUUUCGGAAUGUAAAGUGCUUUCAGUUGGGAAGAAAGAAAUGACGGUACCAACAGAAGAAGUGACGGCUAAAUACGUG